This 305-nucleotide ribosomal RNA is filed under the name uncultured bacterium. Its description in RNAcentral is "bacterial SSU rRNA". It matches the Rfam family "Bacterial small subunit ribosomal RNA", at positions 334 to 632 of the family's 1533-position model. The record is from RNAcentral.
UGUACCUACGGGGCGCAGCAGUGGGGAAUAUUGCGCAAUGGGCGAAAGCCUGACGCAGCGACGCCGCGUGAGGGAUGAAGGUCUUCGGAUCGUAAACCUCUGUCAGCAGGGAAGAACGGUCACUGUGCUAAUCAGCAGUGAAUUGACGGUACCUGCAAAGAAGCCCCGGCUAACUACGUGCCAGCAGCCGCGGUAAUACGUAGGGGGCAAGCGUUAUCCGGAUUUACUGGGUGUAAAGGGAGCGUAGACGGCAUAGCAAGUCUGAAGUGAAAGCCCGUGGCUCAACCGCGGAACUGCUUUGGAAA